UACGGAGGGCGCAAGCGUUGUUCGGAAUCAUUGGGCGUAAAGCGCGUGCAGGCGGCUUGGUAAGUCGGGUGUGAAGGCCCGGGGCUCAACCCCGGAACUGCACCCGAUACUGCCUCGCUAGAGUCCCGGAGAGGAUGGCGGAAUUUCCGGUGUAGAGGUGAAAUUCGUAGAUAUCGGAAGGAACACCAGCGGCGAAGGCGGCCAUCUGGACGGUGACUGACGCUCAGACGAGAAAGCGUGGGGAGCAAACAGG
RNAcentral lists this ribosomal RNA (253 nucleotides) under uncultured bacterium. Its description in RNAcentral is "partial 16S ribosomal RNA". It matches the Rfam family "Bacterial small subunit ribosomal RNA", at positions 524 to 776 of the family's 1533-position model. The record is from RNAcentral.